GACGAACGCUGGCGGCGUGCUUAACACAUGCAAGUCGAACGGAAAGGCCCUGCUUUUGUUGGGUUCUCGAGUGGCGAACGGGUGAGUAACACGUGAGUAACCUGCCCUUGACUUUGGGAUAACUUCAGGAAACUGGGGCUAAUACCGGAUAGGAGCUCCUGCUGCAUGGUGGGGGUUGGAAAGUUUCGGCGGUUGGGGAUGGACUCGCGGCUUAGCAGCUUGUUGGUGGGGUAGUGGCUUACCAAGGCUUUGACGGGUAGCCGGCCUGAGAGGGUGACCGGCCACAUUGGGACUGAGAUACGGCCCAGACUGCUACGGGAGGCAGCAGUGGGGAAUAUUGCAAAAUGGGCGGAAGCAGGAUGCAGCAACGCCGCGUGCGGGAUGACGGCCUUCGGGGUGUAAACCGCUUUCGCCUGUGACGAAGCGUGAGUGACGGUAAUGGGUAAAGAAGCACCGGCUAACUACGU
Molecule: ribosomal RNA, 467 nt
Filed under: uncultured bacterium
Lineage: Bacteria
Description: partial 16S ribosomal RNA
Rfam family: Bacterial small subunit ribosomal RNA
Source: RNAcentral